This 73-nucleotide transfer RNA is filed under the name Danionella translucida. It matches the Rfam family "tRNA". From Rfam's summary of the family: Transfer RNA (tRNA) molecules are approximately 80 nucleotides in length. RNAcentral also lists the same sequence under 1 other name. The record is from Rfam by way of RNAcentral. Lineage: Eukaryota; Metazoa; Chordata; Actinopteri; Cypriniformes; Danionidae.
GGGGAAUUAGCUCAAAUGGUAGAGCGCUCGCUUCGCAUGCGAGAGGUAGCGGGAUCGAUACCCGCAUUCUCCA